CCCAGACUCCUACGGGAGGCAGCAGUGGGGAAUAUUGCACAAUGGGGGAAACCCUGAUGCAGCGACGCCGCGUGAGUGAAGAAGUAUUUCGGUAUGUAAAGCUCUAUCAGCAGGGAAGAAAAUGACGGUACCUGAUUAAGAAGCCCCGGCUAACUACGUGCCAGCAGCCGCGGUAAUACGUAGGGGGCAAGCGUUAUCCGGAUUUACUGGGUGUAAAGGGAGCGUAGACGGUGAUGCAAGUCAGAAGUGAAAGCCCGGGGCUCAACUCCGGGACUGCUUUUGAAACUGUGUGACUGGAGUGCAGGAGAGGUAAGCGGAAUUCCUGGUGUAGCGGUGAAAUGCGUAGAUAUCAGGAGGAACACCAGUGGCGAAGGCGGCUUACUGGACUGUAACUGACGUUGAGGCUCGAAAGCGUGGGGAGCAAACAGGAUUAGAUACCCCCGUAAGA
This 448-nucleotide ribosomal RNA is filed under the name uncultured bacterium. RNAcentral describes it as "bacterial SSU rRNA". It matches the Rfam family "Bacterial small subunit ribosomal RNA", at positions 330 to 794 of the family's 1533-position model. The record is from RNAcentral.